CUUGUUUUUUUCCCCUCCUCCUUAUUUUCAAGGGGAUAGUAUUUGGAGGAAAUUGUACCUCUUCUCUUUGUUUCCUUCAGCUAUGUUUUAAUAGAAAGGAUGCUUGUGCUGACAAGUUUGUGAACCCCGCUGUGGCUGGAUUGUGUAAACCUUGCACACCUCCACAUUUCUCGCAAAGUCAAUGGGGAGUCUCCAUUGUGCGAGGAUUGUGGCAUGAGGACCCUGGUUUGCCUUAAUGCAAUGGUGGAGUAACUAGCGCCUGCAAUAACUGCUUGGUUGAAGAUACUCGCUAACGAGAUUUGGGUAUGGCACAAAUAUAGCAGUGGUUUAUUUAGGCAACUGACUUGUCAGAGGCAGGCACAGCAUGGUAGUCCUUCCUGAAGAUACGUGUAUGGAGGACACACAAACAACAUUACUCCGUCUUCCCAGGUAAGAGCACUUUCUAACUUAUCUGAUCCUCCAAAGAAAGAUCCAAUUUAGAUUGAAUUGUGGCAACCCAGGCUCUUG
This is a non-coding RNA of Chrysemys picta bellii (western painted turtle), 507 nucleotides long. NCBI's taxonomy places the organism in Eukaryota, Metazoa, Chordata, Testudines, Emydidae. The record is from RefSeq and is a predicted model, not a curated record.